RNAcentral lists this non-coding RNA (24 nucleotides) under Arabidopsis thaliana (thale cress). Lineage: Eukaryota; Viridiplantae; Streptophyta; Magnoliopsida; Brassicales; Brassicaceae. The record is from RNAcentral.
AAAAUGCAGAAGUAAACUUGGAAU